GCCAUUACAUUUACAUUAAUAUUGAGGGUGAAACUGUUCUCUUUACCAAUGUACUCCAAUUCAACGUCAUAUCUCUUUCUUGUUUGUCUGUUUCUCUUUUAAAACUAUUAUUGCGUGCAUCAUUAUUUUUAAGUGCCAAUUCAUCUUAUAUGCCCUUACUUUUUUCUUAAAGGGGUGGCUUGGAUUGAGCAUAAAAAGCGUAAGCGUAAGCUGAAGUCUGCAAAGGUAAAGGCCUGGAAUCUGGUGACUGGUGUUGAACACUUUGGCGACGCUCAAAUCAAAGAUGCGAUGAAGAUGGUGUACUGAUGAACAUCUAUUAGAGUAAUUGAUACAUGUUCUGGAUCAUGUAAUAUGUUUUAAGAGUUUAAGUCUGAGGUAAAGGCCUGGAAUCUGGUGACUGGUGUUGAACACUUUGGCGACGCUCAAAUGAAAGAUGUGAUGAAGAUGGUGUAUUGAUGAACAUCUAUUAGAGUAAUUGAUACCUGCAUCAUGUAAUAUGUUUUAAGAGUUUAAGUCUGAGGUAAAGGCCUGGAAUCUGGUGACUGGUGUUGGAACACUUUGGUGAUGCUCAAAUCAAAGAUGUGAUGAAGAUGGUGUACUGAUGAGCAUCUAUUAGAGUAAUCGAUACAUGUUCUGGAUCAUGUAAUAUGUUUAGGAGUUUAAGUUUGAGAUUGAACAUCUUUUCUUUGGGCGCAGACAUAUAUGGAAAUGAAAUUGAGGGCAACGCAAAGAAAGAAGUAGUGCUAGGCGUUAAUUAUGUAUGACAGACAUAUGGAAAUGAAAUUGAGGGCAAUGCAAGGAAAGAAGUAGUGCUAGGCGUUAAUUAUGUAUGACAG
Molecule: long non-coding RNA, 836 nt
Filed under: Triticum aestivum (bread wheat)
Lineage: Eukaryota; Viridiplantae; Streptophyta; Magnoliopsida; Poales; Poaceae
Description: long non-coding RNA (TAES_LNC007999)
Source: RNAcentral